AUUCCUGUGCGGAAGCAAGUCGCCUAUCUUAUCAUUUUUUGAAACAAGAUGAGCAGUAUUUUGAAACAUAUCAAGGUAUCAUAGAUGCCAUGGUUUAAGGAAGUACUACUGGAAAAAAUCUGGAUGUACAGAGUAUGUUGCAUUCCUGCUUUACCGGUGGCAAUCGUUAUAUGGUGCAAAACUAUCAUGAUGGAAUGGCUAUUUGUUGAGGGUAUGGAGCUCCAGAUCUUUUUAUUAUAUUUACAUGUUCAUAAAUGGGAAGAAAUUUGCGAUAUGCUUUCAUAUGAAAGUGGACGAUUUCAUACUGAUCGACCUGAUUUAGUUACAAGUGUUUUAGUUUGCUUUCUUUAAAAUAUGCUCCUCUUUUAGAUGUGAAGACAUCUUAAGCUCUUUUGUCAAGUCGAUCAUGUAGGGAGGAGUAAACGAAGGAGUUGUCCCAAAAGAUAGAGUGGAGCAGUUUAAGAAAAGCAUCAGUGAGGGAUCGGUGUACAAGAUUCAAAACUACCUCAUAGAAAGGCCCAAAAAUACUUACAGAGCAACAGAUCAUCCACAUAGGCUCUCCUUCAUAAAAACAACAAAUGUUACUCCUAUUGUUACCCUGUCAGUAGGUUUCCCCUUACUUACUCAUAAUGCAUUACCAUUUUCAGAGCUCGAAAAACAUAUUGGAUCGAAGGAGCUGAUGUCAAGUUACUCUUUAGCUAGCCUUCUGCAUAAGCUUUAAGUAUAUAUGCGAUUCUGAUUUCAACUAAUAUUAUAUGUGUCCAAAUUGCUAAAUAUUAUUGGUCCGAUGGUUACCGUUAUCGACUAUUGCCUUCUACUGGUGCUGCCAAGGAACCAAGGUGCCAGAUAACUAUCAUUGAUGGAAAAUAUGUCUCUCAUCCUCUGGCUUUGUGUGCUCACCAUCUUUAUACACAUUAUCAUAUUGUAGGACAAACAAUUACUUCAUUACAAACUUUAAUUUCUGUAGAAAAAAUGCGACUGUCACGCUUUUGGGUGAAUCUGCACAAAAAUUUGAUGCAGAGAGUUUAUGCACUUUAUCAAAGAGAGAACCAGUUAUCAUAAUGUUUGUUCUCAUGAUGCUCGAUCAGUAUGCAGGAACACCAUCUACAAGAUGACACGUAAAUGUUGAUAUUCCCAGGAUGAAAGCAAUGUUGGACAGAGUCAGAAACCAACCAUACGAAUUGAAGUACUCAAUCCCGGACAAACUCCGUGGGAGAAAGUGGAGACAACCAUCAGUUCCCUAGAAGGAAUAGACCCUGCUAACACUCUGAGAACUUGGUUCAAAUUCAGAGUCAAAAUAACUCAAAUGGUAUCUAUUACGGACUGGAUGUAUAUGGAUUGUAAAAUUUGCUGGAAAGGACUAUGAAUGACAUACGACAGUCUACGGAGGUGCCCUAUCAGUCCUGAUGGAGGAGAACCCUGGCCAAGGUGCCCUAUCUGUCCUGAUGGAGGAGAACCCUGGCCAAGAUAUAAGAUAAGAGUACAUGCAAUGGACGACGGAAGCAACGAUGAAGCAAACACAACAUUUGCUGAAUUUUUAUUCUUUGAUGCACUUGUUGAAAAAAUAGCCGGCAUCACCGCAUAUUGUGUAGAAGCCCACAAAAUAGGAAAGACUAACUACCUUCCACCCGAACUGGAACAACUCCCUAGCAAAAGAUUCAUUUUAACA
Hordeum vulgare subsp. vulgare (domesticated barley) is the source of this 1669-nucleotide long non-coding RNA. RefSeq lists it as uncharacterized. The record is from RefSeq and is a predicted model, not a curated record. Lineage: Eukaryota; Viridiplantae; Streptophyta; Magnoliopsida; Poales; Poaceae. The transcript has 5 exons.